AAGUCGUAACAAGGUUUCCGUAGGUGAACCUGCGGAAGGAUCAUUAUUGAAUUAUGUUUUCUAGAUGGGUUGUAGCUGGCUCCUAGGAGCAUGUGCACGCCUGUCUGGACUUCAUUUUCAUCCACCUGUGCACCCUUUGUAGUCUUUGUUGGGUAUGGAGGAAGUGGUCAGCCUUAUCAGCUCUUGCUGGAUAUGAGGACUUGCAGUGUGAAAGCAGUGCUGUCCGCUACUUGGCCAUGGAAUCUGUUUCCCAUCAGAGUCUAUGUUGUUCAUUAUACCCUAUAAACUGUUAUUGAAUGUCUUUACAUGGGCUUCUAUGCCUAUGAAAAUUGUAAUACAACUUUCAGCAACGGAUCUCUUGGCUCUC
RNAcentral lists this unclassified non-coding RNA (367 nucleotides) under Agaricus placomyces. RNAcentral's name for it is "partial internal transcribed spacer region". The stretch from base 1 to 46 matches the Rfam family "Eukaryotic small subunit ribosomal RNA", at positions 1786 to 1831 of the family's 1831-position model. The record is from RNAcentral. Lineage: Eukaryota; Fungi; Basidiomycota; Agaricomycetes; Agaricales; Agaricaceae.